This 724-nucleotide ribosomal RNA is filed under the name uncultured bacterium. RNAcentral describes it as "bacterial SSU rRNA". It matches the Rfam family "Bacterial small subunit ribosomal RNA", at positions 28 to 776 of the family's 1533-position model. The record is from RNAcentral.
GAUGAACGCUGACAGAAUGCUUAACACAUGCAAGUCUACUUGAUCCUUCAGGUGAUGGUGGCGGACGGGUGAGUAACGCGUAAAGAACUUGCCCUGCAGUCUGGGACAACAUUUGGAAACGAAUGCUAAUACCGGAUAUUAUGUGAGUUUCGCAUGAAAUUCAUAUGAAAGCUAUAUGCGCUGCAGGAGAGCUUUGCGUCCUAUUAGCUAGUUGGUGAGGUAACGGCUCACCAAGGCGAUGAUAGGUAGCCGGCCUGAGAGGGUGAACGGCCACAAGGGGACUGAGACACGGCCCUUACUCCUACGGGAGGCAGCAGUGGGGAAUAUUGGACAAUGGACCAAAAGUCUGAUCCAGCAAUUCUGUGUGCACGAUGAAGUUUUUCGGAAUGUAAAGUGCUUUCAGUUGGGACGAAGUAAGUGACGGUACCAACAGAAGAAGCGACGGCUAAAUACGUGCCAGCAGCCGCGGUAAUACGUAUGUCGCAAGCGUUAUCCGGAUUUAUUGGGCGUAAAGCGCGUCUAGGCGGUUUGGUAAGUCUGAUGUGAAAAUGCGGGGCUCAACUCCGUAUUGCGUUGGAAACUGCCAAACUAGAGUACUGGAGAGGUGGGCGGAACUACAAGUGUAGAGGUGAAAUUCGUAGAUAUUUGUAGGAAUGCCGAUGGGGAAGCCAGCCCACUGGACAGAUACUGACGCUAAAGCGUGAAAGCGUGGGUAGCAAACAGG